Molecule: ribosomal RNA, 549 nt
Filed under: uncultured bacterium
Lineage: Bacteria
Description: bacterial SSU rRNA
Rfam family: Bacterial small subunit ribosomal RNA
Source: RNAcentral
GGCGGUUUGUCGCGUCUGCUGUGAAAACCCGAGGCUCAACCUCGGGCCUGCAGUGGGUACGGGCAGACUAGAGUGCGGUAGGGGAGAUUGGAAUUCCUGGUGUAGCGGUGGAAUGCGCAGAUAUCAGGAGGAACACCGAUGGCGAAGGCAGAUCUCUGGGCCGUAACUGACGCUGAGGAGCGAAAGGGUGGGGAGCAAACAGGCUUAGAUACCCUGGUAGUCCACCCCGUAAACGUUGGGAACUAGUUGUGGGGUCCAUUCCACGGAUUCCGUGACGCAGCUAACGCAUUAAGUUCCCCGCCUGGGGAGUACGGCCGCAAGGCUAAAACUCAAAGGAAUUGACGGGGACCCGCACAAGCGGCGGAGCAUGCGGAUUAAUUCGAUGCAACGCGAAGAACCUUACCAAGGCUUGACAUACACGAGAACGCUGCAGAAAUGUAGAACUCUUUGGACACUCGUGAACAGGUGGUGCAUGGUUGUCGUCAGCUCGUGUCGUGAGAUGUUGGGUUAAGUCCCGGAACGAGCGCAACCCUCGUUCUAUGUUGCCAG